Molecule: ribosomal RNA, 254 nt
Filed under: uncultured bacterium
Lineage: Bacteria
Description: partial 16S ribosomal RNA
Rfam family: Bacterial small subunit ribosomal RNA
Source: RNAcentral
UACGGGGGGGGGCAAGCGUUGUCCGGAUUUAUUGGGCGUAAAGAGCGUGUAGGCGGCUUUACAGGUCCGUUGUGAAAACUCGAGGCUCAACCUCGAGACGCCGGUGGAAACCGUAAGGCUAGAGUCCGGAAGAGGAGAGUGGAAUUCCUGGUGUAGCGGUGAAAUGCGCAGAUAUCAGGAAGAACACCCGUGGCGAAGGCGGCUCUCUGGGACGGUACUGACGCUGAGACGCGAAAGCGUGGGGAGCGAACAGG